AAUAGAUACCCCGGUAGUCCACGCCGUAAACGAUGAGUGCUAAGUGUUAGGGGGGUUUCCGCCCCUUAGUGCUGCAGCUAACGCAUUAAGCACUCCGCCUGGGGAGUACGGUCGCAAGACUGAAACUCAAAGGAAUUGACGGGGGCCCGCACAAGCGGUGGAGCAUGUGGUUUAAUUCGAAGCAACGCGAAGAACCUUACCAGGUCUUGACAUCCCACUGACCGCUAUGGAGACAUAGUUUUCCCUUCGGGGACAGGUGGUGACAGGUGGUGCAUGGUUGUCAUCAGCUCGUGUCGUGAGAUGUUGGGUUAAGUCCCGCAACGAGCGCAACCCUUGAUCUUAGUUGCCAUCAUUUAGUUGGGCACUCUAAGGUGACUGCCGGUGACAAACCGGAGGAAGGUGGGGAUGACGUCAAAUCAUCAUGCCCCUUAUGACCUGGGCUACACACGUGCUACAAUGGACGGUACAAACGGUUGCCAACCCGCGAGGGGGAGCUAAUCCGAUAAAACCGUUCUCAGUUCGGAUUGUAGGCUGCAACUCGCCUAC
Molecule: ribosomal RNA, 546 nt
Filed under: uncultured bacterium
Lineage: Bacteria
Description: bacterial SSU rRNA
Rfam family: Bacterial small subunit ribosomal RNA
Source: RNAcentral